UUCCUACGGGGGGCAGCAGUGGGGAAUAUUGGACAAUGGGCGCAAGCCUGAUCCAGCCAUGCCGCGUGAGUGAUGAAGGCCUUAGGGUUGUAAAGCUCUUUUGUCGGGGACGAUAAUGACGGUACCCGAAGAAUAAGCUCCGGCUAACUUCGUGCCAGCAGCCGCGGUAAUACGAAGGGAGCUAGCGUUGUUCGGAAUCACUGGGCGUAAAGCGCACGUAGGCGGAUUUGUUAGUCAGGGGUGAAAUCCCGGGGCUCAACCUCGGAACUGCCUUUGAUACUGCAAAUCUCGAGUCCGAUAGAGGUGGGUGGAAUUCCUAGUGUAGAGGUGAAAUUCGUAGAUAUUAGGAAGAACACCGGUGGCGAAGGCGGCCCACUGGAUCGGUACUGACGCUGAGGUGCGAAAGCGUGGGGAGCAAACAGGAUUAGAUACCCUAGUAGUCA
Molecule: ribosomal RNA, 443 nt
Filed under: uncultured Hyphomicrobium sp.
Lineage: Bacteria; Pseudomonadati; Pseudomonadota; Alphaproteobacteria; Hyphomicrobiales; Hyphomicrobiaceae
Description: bacterial SSU rRNA
Rfam family: Bacterial small subunit ribosomal RNA
Source: RNAcentral